Megalobrama amblycephala (Wuchang bream) is the source of this 1325-nucleotide RNA transcript. It is a transcript of the gene named acylphosphatase 2, muscle type, with no coding region annotated. Lineage: Eukaryota; Metazoa; Chordata; Actinopteri; Cypriniformes; Xenocyprididae. The record is from RefSeq and is a predicted model, not a curated record. The transcript has 5 exons.
ACAGGUGUCACGUGACGCACUGGUCGCUGCAGGAGUGUCGGGUCUCAACCGUGCAAGUUGCGGCGGCGUCAAGCGCUUUUAUUUAUGAUUAUCUGUAAUUUAAACACCUGCUGGACUUCUCUUUUGGUCCUGAGCCUUGUAAUAUUGUUUGCAAUGUCUUCGGACGCCGGUGAAAAAUAUGUCUCUGUAGAUUUUGAGGUAUUCGGGAAUGUUCAGGGUGUUUGCUUCAGAAUGUACACAGAGGAAGAAGGGAAGAAACUGGGCGUGACAGGCUGGGUAAAGAACACUAGACAGGGCACUGUUGUCGGACAGGUGCAGGGACCUCCUGAAAAAGUGAAAGAAAUGAAGUACUGGCUCAGUAAGGUGGGCAGUCCGAGCUCUCGAAUCCACCGCGCUGAGUUCACCAACGAAAGAGACAUCUCUAAACUGGAGAUUCGUGGAUUUGGCACUCGCUACUGAAUCACACGGCACCGGCAGACAACAAACUCUGAUAGUUGGUAGAUGAAGAAGAACAAAACCGUAACUCCAUCAUUGAGAUCUUCACUUUAUGCAUAAUCGACCAAUCACGGCAUCCGGCGGUUCUGUUUCCAUGGAAAACCUGGCCGCCCUCACAGAGCUCUCUUAAGGUGGCGUCCGUGUCAGAAUUCAGCGUGUGACGCUUUUGUGCAGCGUCAGCUUCUGUCCGUCACAAAUGCACUUGGAGUUAUCGUUAACAUCAUAAUGUCUUUAGAAUCGAGCUCAAAGCCUCUCCCGGAUUGUACGUUGCCCCAGAGACACAAAUACAGAGUCCCCAGGGUGUCCUUUUUCUCCCAGCAUGCUUCACUUCAGCAAAUCUGCAUGUGGGCCGGUUAGGGAGGCUGGAAUCCUCUUAGCUGACAGUUGCAAGAUUAGAUCAGAGGCUUAACGAGGGUUAGUGAGUCUUUGAAUAGACGGUCCGCUCUCAGACUGAUCCGGGAACAGUUUGCUGCCAUCACUUCUGAGUCUGUAUGAAAUCGCAAUAUCCGUCAGACUCCAUAGAUCCCAGAUCCGGGCCUCUGAUGGAAUGUGCCGGGCUCUUUGUUUGGGAUCGCUCUGUGUUUCCCAGAAGCAAGUGAGCUCGAGAAACACUUUCCCAUGAUUCACUGAGACCAACAAGUAUAUGGAAACUUAAGUGAUGCUAAAAAUGCCUGAAUGUCACUGAAACAUUAGUGAAACAUUGUAUCAAAAGUGGAAUUUGAUUGUGGAGUUCCGUUAAAUUGAUCAAAAGUGUCAUUUAGAAUGUUACAAAAUGUUUCUAUUUCAAAUAAAUGCUGUUCUUUUGAACAUUCUAUUCAACAAAGAAUCCU